CAGCAGCCGCGGUAAUACGUAGGUGGCAAGCGUUGUCCGGAAUUAUUGGGCGUAAAGGGCUCGCAGGCGGUUUCUUAAGCCUGAUGUGAAAGCCCCCGGCUCAACCGGGGAGGGUCAUUGGAAACUGGGAAACUUGAGUGCAGAAGAGGAGAGUGGAAUUCCACGUGUAGCGGUGAAAUGCGUAGAGAUGUGGAGGAACACCAGUGGCGAAGGCGACUCUCUGGUCUGUAACUGACGCUGAGGAGCGAAAGCGUGGGGAGCGAACAGGAUUAGAGACCCCGGUAGUCCCUGUCUCUUAUAC
This 301-nucleotide ribosomal RNA is filed under the name uncultured bacterium. RNAcentral describes it as "partial 16S ribosomal RNA". It matches the Rfam family "Bacterial small subunit ribosomal RNA", at positions 509 to 807 of the family's 1533-position model. The record is from RNAcentral.